GCUGGCGGCGUGCCUAAUACAUGCAAGUCGAGCGAACAGACAAGGAGCUUGCUCCUUUGACGUUAGCGGCGGACGGGUGAGUAACACGUGGGUAACCUACCUAUAAGACUGGGAUAACUUCGGGAAACCGGAGCUAAUACCGGAUAAUAUUUCGAACCGCAUGGUUCGAUAGUGAAAGAUGGUUUUGCUAUCACUUAUAGAUGGACCCGCGCCGUAUUAGCUAGUUGGUAAGGUAACGGCUUACCAAGGCGACGAUACGUAGCCGACCUGAGAGGGUGAUCGGCCACACUGGAACUGAGACACGGUCCAGACUCCUACGGGAGGCAGCAGUAGGGAAUCUUCCGCAAUGGGCGAAAGCCUGACGGAGCAACGCCGCGUGAGUGAUGAAGGUCUUCGGAUCGUAAAACUCUGUUAUUAGGGAAGAACAUACGUGUAAGUAACUAUGCACGUC
Molecule: ribosomal RNA, 451 nt
Filed under: Staphylococcus haemolyticus
Lineage: Bacteria; Bacillati; Bacillota; Bacilli; Caryophanales; Staphylococcaceae
Description: bacterial SSU rRNA
Rfam family: Bacterial small subunit ribosomal RNA
Source: RNAcentral